RNAcentral lists this ribosomal RNA (410 nucleotides) under Salmonella enterica subsp. enterica. RNAcentral describes it as "partial 23S ribosomal RNA". It matches the Rfam family "Bacterial large subunit ribosomal RNA", at positions 1141 to 1554 of the family's 2925-position model. Lineage: Bacteria; Pseudomonadati; Pseudomonadota; Gammaproteobacteria; Enterobacterales; Enterobacteriaceae. The record is from RNAcentral.
CUCACUAGUCGAGUGACACUGCGCCGAAAAUGUACCGGGGCUAAACAUAUUACCGAAGCUGUGGAUUGUCCUUUGGACAAUGGUAGGAGAGCGUUCUAAGGGCGUCGAAGCAUGAUCGCAAGGACAUGUGGAGCGCUUAGAAGUGAGAAUGCCGGUGUGAGUAGCGAAAGACGGGUGAGAAUCCCGUCCACCGAUUGACUAAGGUUUCCAGAGGAAGGCUCGUCCGCUCUGGGUUAGUCGGGUCCUAAGCUGAGGCCGACAGGCGUAGGCGAUGGAUAACAGGUUGAUAUUCCUGUACCACCUAGUAUCGUUUUAAUCGAUGGGGGGACGCAGUAGGAUAGGCGAAGCGUGCUGUUGGAGUGCACGUCCAAGCAGUAAGGCUGAGUGUUAGGCAAAUCCGGCACUCAUAA